GGGAAAAUAUAUAUUUCAAUACUCUCUCUCGCAGUUAUAUCGUUGGGUAAUUAUAAUGUAUAUAAAAUGCGGGGGUCAGGGAGCCGCUUUUAAUAUAUUUGAUCGCUUUUUAUUUUCCCUUUCGCACAUGCUCUGUGUAAACUACAGUGGCAGUACUUAUUUAACACACAUUUUACAAGAGCAUAGGCUUGUCAGUGGUGCUCAGGAUCUGUAAAUCAUUCGCCAUCAUCCUCAGUCAUCUCUCCUUACUUUCUUUAUGUGGUAAGUGAAAUCUUAUGUCCUGUAACAGGCUACCGCUAGCAAGCAGCUAACCAUGUUCCAUUAGUGACUCACGUUAUUUGUUUUCCGUGCCUUUCUGAAUACAGACACCAACCCAUCCCUGCACAUCACAUCCCUUGCACAGCCUGAAACAUAACAUUUAUUUCCAUGAACUGCCAUUCUUGCUAUUAUCCAAGCUUGUUUCUUCACAAUACCUGCAGAGCUUCUGAUGAUUUGGCUGUGCAGGCUCGGCUGGUGGCUGGCAUAGAACAUGGGUCUACUCUAGAGUUUUUACUCUGCAGAAAACUGACGAGCAACCCAACCCACCAAUAGACGAGGAAGAUGAGAAUAAUCACAGUGGUCCAGCAUAUACAAAGAGAAAGAACUCAAAAGAACAUACUUUGAAGAAUGCUGGUAAUCAAACCCAACAAGUUUGUCAGGUAUGGACAGUAUGAAGGGGACAAAAUGAUUUUCAUAUUUUGGGUGAACUCUUUUUAAUUAGCAUGCUACACACUAAAUAUUAAUCAUGCUGGGCACAGUUUACAGUUAGUGCUGUAAAUAGUCUGUCAAAUAACAGGUACAUUGCUACAACAUAAAUUUAAUGUAGUUCACAAUGAUGCAUUACAUUAGACCUUUUACUAAUAGAUACUUGUAUAUUAUUUGCUCUUUACAGGUGCAGAAAUAAAAGCUCCCAAACAAAGAUGUCA
This is a long non-coding RNA of Cyprinus carpio (common carp), 965 nucleotides long. The record is from Ensembl. NCBI's taxonomy places the organism in Eukaryota, Metazoa, Chordata, Actinopteri, Cypriniformes, Cyprinidae.